RNAcentral lists this ribosomal RNA (383 nucleotides) under Pelagobia longicirrata. RNAcentral describes it as "partial large subunit ribosomal RNA". It matches the Rfam family "Bacterial large subunit ribosomal RNA", at positions 1953 to 2539 of the family's 2925-position model. The record is from RNAcentral. Lineage: Eukaryota; Metazoa; Annelida; Polychaeta; Phyllodocida; Phyllodocidae.
AAGGUAGCAUAUAAUAAGCCUUUUAAUUGGUGGCUGGUAUGAAUGGUUUUAUGAGGAUAAAGCUGUCUUAAUUUAAUAAAUUAAAAAUUUACAUGAAAGUGAAGAGGCUUUUAUAGUUUAAAAAGACAAAAAGACCCUAUUGAGUUUUAUUGAUCUUAAAAUAUAUGAUAAUUAAUUUAAAGUUGAGGAUUUUUGUGUUUUAUAUAUUAAUUUUACUGGGGCGGUAAGGGAAAAAUGUAACCUCUUUUUUAUUUAAAACUAAUAAGUUUUUUAAUGUGCUUUUUAUUUUUUGAAAUUAAGAUUUAACUACCAUAGGGAUAACAGGCUGGUUCUUUCAGAGAGUUCAAAUUGACGAAAGAGUUUGGCACCUCGAUGUUGGCUUA